UACGUAGGGUGCGAGCGUUGUCCGGAAUUAUUGGGCGUAAAGAGCUCGUAGGCGGUUUGUCGCGUCUGCCGUGAAAGUCCGGGGCUCAACUCCGGAUCUGCGGUGGGUACGGGCAGACUAGAGGUGAUGUAGGGGAGACUGGAAUUCCUGGUGUGAGCGGUGAAAUGCGCAGAUAUCGGGAGGAACACCGGUGGCGAAGGCGGUUCUCUGGGCCUUACCUGACGCUGAGGAGCGAAAGCGUGGGGAGCGAACAGG
This 255-nucleotide ribosomal RNA is filed under the name uncultured bacterium. RNAcentral's name for it is "partial 16S ribosomal RNA". It matches the Rfam family "Bacterial small subunit ribosomal RNA", at positions 524 to 776 of the family's 1533-position model. The record is from RNAcentral.